RNAcentral lists this ribosomal RNA (425 nucleotides) under Enterococcus faecalis. RNAcentral describes it as "bacterial SSU rRNA". It matches the Rfam family "Bacterial small subunit ribosomal RNA", at positions 28 to 432 of the family's 1533-position model. The record is from RNAcentral. Lineage: Bacteria; Bacillati; Bacillota; Bacilli; Lactobacillales; Enterococcaceae.
GACGAACGCGGCGGCGUGCCUAAUACAUGCAAGUCGAACGCUUCUUUCCUCCCGAGUGCUUGCGCUCAAUUGGAAAGAGGAGUGGCGGACGGGUGAGUAACACGUGGGUAACCUACCCAUCAGAGGGGGAUAACACUUGGAAACAGGUGCUAAUACCGCAUAACAGUUUAUGCCGCAUGGCAUAAGAGUGAAAGGCGCUUUCGGGUGUCGCUGAUGGAUGGACCCGCGGUGCAUUAGCUAGUUGGUGAGGUAACGGCUCACCAAGGCCACGAUGCAUAGCCGACCUGAGAGGGUGAUCGGCCACACUGGGACUGAGACACGGCCCAGACUCCUACGGGAGGCAGCAGUAGGGAAUCUUCGGCAAUGGACGAAAGUCUGACCGAGCAACGCCGCGUGAGUGAAGAAGGUUUUCGGAUCGUAAAACU